This 591-nucleotide ribosomal RNA is filed under the name uncultured bacterium. RNAcentral's name for it is "bacterial SSU rRNA". It matches the Rfam family "Bacterial small subunit ribosomal RNA", at positions 335 to 919 of the family's 1533-position model. The record is from RNAcentral.
AUUCCUACGGGAGGCAGCAGUGGGGAAUUUUGGACAAUGGGGGAAACCCUGAUCCAGCAAUGCCGCGUGUGCGAAGAAGGCCUUCGGGUUGUAAAGCACUUUUGUCAGGGAAGAAAUCCUUUGGGCUAAUACCCUAGGGGGAUGACGGUACCUGAAGAAUAAGCACCGGCUAACUACGUGCCAGCAGCCGCGGUAAUACGUAGGGUGCAAGCGUUAAUCGGAAUUACUGGGCGUAAAGCGUGCGCAGGCGGUUGUGUAAGACAGGUGUGAAAUCCCCGGGCUUAACCUGGGAAUUGCAUUUGUGACUGCACGACUAGAGUGUGUCAGAGGGGGGUGGAAUUCCACGUGUAGCAGUGAAAUGCGUAGAUAUGUGGAGGAACACCAAUGGCGAAGGCAGCCCCCUGGGAUAACACUGACGCUCAUGCACGAAAGCGUGGGGAGCAAACAGGAUUAGAUACCCUGGUAGUCCACGCCCUAAACGAUGUCAACUAGUUGUUGGGGAUUUACUUCCUUGGUAACGUAGCUAACGCGUGAAGUUGACCGCCUGGGGAGUACGGCCGCAAGGUUAAAACUCAAAGGAAUUGACGGAAU